Long non-coding RNA from Myxocyprinus asiaticus (Chinese sucker), 3178 nucleotides. RefSeq lists it as uncharacterized. Lineage: Eukaryota; Metazoa; Chordata; Actinopteri; Cypriniformes; Catostomidae. The transcript is spliced from 3 exons. The record is from RefSeq and is a predicted model, not a curated record.
CAUCCUACCUUGCUGCCGUUUGAGCUGGGUGGGCGACAGAGGAAGAUGGGGUGAGGCCCAUACCGUGGACUAUCAUCGAAAAGAUCAUCAUUGCAAUGGGAGUCAGGAUAUGGAUCGUCAACGAUGGUCCUCGACAAGGGUCGGAACCUCAGGCCCCUUGCAUCCCAGACGAGCCGUUGAGGGGCCCUUGCCUUGUGCUACAAAGCGUCUUCAAUCAAUUGUUUUGAAAGGCCUUACCGUUUUCCAAACGGCGGCAGAUGAUGUCGGCGGUUCUGUUGUUUCUCUCUGUAAACGACUCUCUUCGGUGACGGGUAUUCUUGGGUGGAUAAUACGGCGCUCGUUGUUAUUGCUUAAGAAUACGCGUAGUCGAGGGGAGUCAUGUCAGCGAUGCCUGCAGUGGACUAGAGAGAGCGUUGAAUCCAGAAGGCCUACCUGCCUGCACACAAACACACGCAUACAUGUUUACUAAAGGGGACAUACCAUAGAUGUGUACUGUUUUUAAAUAAAGCUAUUUGUAAUUACUAUAGACUAACUGGAUCCCUAAAAGCAAACUGUAUUUUUUGUUUUUGUUUGUUUUAUCAAAAUACAAACAAACAUUAUUUGCUCUAUUUAUAAAUCGUUUCUCCAAUUGAAAAUUUCCCAGUAUGUCCCCAUAGGGAGGUUUUGUCAGAUUUAGCUCACUUCUGAGGACAAAUUUGUCCCCAAACUAUAACUAAGCCAAUCUACACCUUAGCUAUCUAAAAUGAGAUAAACUCUAGAUUUAUAGGGUUUUUAAAUAAAGUUAAUUGUAAUUAUUGUAGACUAAACCUACCCUUAAAGGAAAACUGUAUUUUUUAGAAAUAAAAUAAUAGUUUUUCCUAUUGAAAACGUCCCAGAAUGUCCCCAUAGGGAAGUUUUGUCAGAUUUAGCUCAUGCAUGUGGAGAAAUUUGUCCCCAAACUAUAGCUAAGUAAACCCACACCUUUAUACAGGUUUAUUUAGUUAUCUAAAAUGGGACGUACCAUAGACUUUUAUUGUUUUUAAAUAAAGCUAAUUAUAAUUACUAGGACUAAUUACUGUAUACCCUUAAAGGAAAACUGUAUUAAAAAAAAAAAAAAAAAAACUCUUUAUCUUUUUAUGAAUCAUUUCUCUAAUUGAAAAUUUCCCAGAAUGUCCCCUUAGGGAGGCUUUGUUAAAUUUAGCUCAUUUCAGCAACACAAUAUUGUCACCAAAAUAUAGCAAAGUUAAGCCACACCUAUAUACAAGUUUACUUAGCUAUCUAAAUGGGGAUAUACUGUAGACUUCUAUUGGUUUUAAAUAAAGCUAAUUAUAUAUACAAUAGGCUAACCCUACCCUAAAAGAAAAUUGCACUUUUAGAAUAAUAAUAAUAAUAAUAAUAAUAAUAAUAAUAAAAACAUUAUUUGCUUUAUUUAUGAAUCACUUUUCCAAUUGAGGAUGUCCCCGAAUGUCCCCAAAGGGAGGACCCCAGACUUACAGGUUGGGAAACACUGCUAUAGACUAACCCCAACCCUACUCCAAAAAAACAAAAAAACAUUUAGAAUCUGCAACAAUUUACUUUAUUGGUUUACUUAAUUGUUUUUGGAAAUGAGGACGACCCUGAAUGUCCACAAAGGGAGAUUUUGUCAGAUUUAGAUCACUUCUUGAGACAAAUGUGUCCCCCAAACUAUAGCUAAGUAAACCCUAAAUGGGGACAUACCUGUAGUGUAGACUUCUAGUGUUUUUUUUUUUUGUUUUUUUUUAAAGCUAAUCAUAAAUACUUUAGACUAACCCUGACUUUACCCCUCAAAGAAAACUGCAUUUACAGAAUAAUAAAACAGCAUUAUUUUUGCUUUAUUUAUCAUUUUUCCAAAUGAGCACAUCCCUGAAUGUAUCCAUAUGGAGGUUUUGUCAGAUUUAGCUUAUUUCUAGGGACAAAUUUGUCCCCAAACUCUAACCAAGUAAACCCCCGAACACAUAUUAAUUUGCAAAUGCUGAGAUGUACACCUACACACAUGUAUUGAGUCAGCAAAGCUGCAUUUCUUGUUUGUGUGUGACGGUUGUGUAGCUGAUUCUCCAUCUACUCCUACUAAACAUGUUUCCAUUGUAUGUCAGGCACCAAAAAGAAGAACAGAUUUUAUUCAUAUAGUGUUUUCUUUUUUUUUUUCUUUUUGUGCUUUUGUGUUUCUUUGUAGAUUGAACGUUUAUGUGUAUCAGACUGGUAUGGUGUCUUCACAGGUUUUGUAAGGGAAGCUGUAUAUUCUAAUGUGCCGGGCGGGGUUGUAGAUGCAAAUAUGUUUGGUUUGUGCCAAAUAUUCUCUUCUCAGGACCUCACACACUCUACCUUUUUAAUGCAAAUUGAUUUUGAAAUGACAUUUAUCGUGCAGGGUUUCCAUAUGGAAGUCCUAACUCCAAGAAGGCUGGGGGAAAAAAAUGAAUGAAAUGUCCACAACGCCAGUGACAGCUAAAUUUAUGCGCUGGUAGGGAGACGGAUUGUAAAGGAGCACAUUGCAGAUAAACAGUUACCACAGGCUUAGAUUGACUGCGGCGUGGCCUCCCAUGUAGGCAAGCAUAUAUCAUGAAUAUGUAUCAGCCAUGCGUAUGAUGGCGCAGUCUAACGUCCAUGAAAAUCCAUUUAAGGAAGCUAAUAGGAUCUACUUGACUUACGAAAGCAUACAAUCAGAUGUAUCAACUAUACAUGAGAUUUUUUUUUAUCUAAAACAUUUGAUUAUUUUGCUUUAUUUAUUUAUUUUUAGAAAUGACAUAAAAACUAAAGAGAUUGCAUUUGGAUCGGCUGUUAAUGUAUUGAUGUGGAGGAUUUGUAAAUCUGAAAACAUUUUAAUUUGUUCUCCAUUAUCAACUAGCACGUUUAAGUGAUGUAUUAGCAUUUCAGACAGACUAAAGGCAACAAUCAGGCAACUCGUUCGUUGAUCACUCUGUAAUUAUCGUUCUCUCGGCUAUGUGUUUAAAUGAAUAGAGAGAAAAAGGGGGGAAAAGGGGAGUAGAUAAGGAAUACUGUUUUACCACUAGGGGACACACACAACUGAAAAUCACAGAGAAUUUAUAAGUUUGAUUUAAGAAGGAACUUUUUGAGGGUGUUUUGUGUUAAAAAACGAGAAUAUAUAAAUCUGUUUAUUUUUUAAUUGUUAUAUAUGUUUAGUACAUUUAACUGAUUUUGGCUGGUCAAAAUAGAUAUUUUUAUU